Molecule: ribosomal RNA, 442 nt
Filed under: uncultured bacterium
Lineage: Bacteria
Description: partial 16S ribosomal RNA
Rfam family: Bacterial small subunit ribosomal RNA
Source: RNAcentral
CCUACGGGAGGCAGCAGUGGGGAAUAUUGGUCAAUGGGCGCAAGCCUGACCCAGCGACGCCGCGUGAAGGAAGAAGGCUUUCGGGUUGUAAACCUCUUUUGACAGGGAAGAGUAGAUGACCUUACGUGCAGAAUACGCUACGUCUAACUAAGUACCAGCAGCCGCGGUAGUACGUAGGUGCGGUGUGUUGUCCGGAUGUAGUGGGUUUAACGGUUGUGUAGCCGGGUUGACAAGUCAGAUGUGAAAUCCUGCGGCUUAACCGUAGAAUUGCUUUUGAAAGUGAUGAUCUUGAGUACAGGAGAGGUAGGUGGAAUUCCUAGUGUAGCGGUGAAAUGCGUAGAUAUUAGGAGGAACACCAGUGGCGAAGGCGGCCUGCUGGACUGUAACUGACGGUGAGGCGCGAAAGCGUGGGGAGCAAACAGGAUUAGAUACCCCAGUAGUC